Lathyrus oleraceus (garden pea) is the source of this 314-nucleotide long non-coding RNA. RefSeq lists it as uncharacterized. Lineage: Eukaryota; Viridiplantae; Streptophyta; Magnoliopsida; Fabales; Fabaceae. The record is from RefSeq and is a predicted model, not a curated record. The transcript has 2 exons.
GUUUGUGGGCCGAAUGCGGAGGAUUUGUCGAGUUUGGAUUACCCGGAUACGGUUGUUUUUGUGGGCGGGUUUGACCCGUUAAAUGAUUGGCAAAGGAGGUAUUGUGAUUGGUUGAGGAAAUCAGGGAAAAAUGAUGAGUUGAUUGAAUAUCCUAAUAUGAUUCAUGCUUUUUAUAUUUUUCCUGAUUUGCCUGAAGCUACUCAGUUGAUUAUGCAAGUUAAGGAUUUUAUUCACAAGAAAUUUUAAUUAUAAAUGAUGAUCAUUGAUGAUUGUUGUAAUAAUAUUGAUAUGAUGAUAACAUUAAGGGAUAAUAA